RNAcentral lists this unclassified non-coding RNA (322 nucleotides) under uncultured Sebacinales. RNAcentral's name for it is "sequence contains 5.8S rRNA gene". Lineage: Eukaryota; Fungi; Basidiomycota; Agaricomycetes; Sebacinales. The record is from RNAcentral.
GAACGCACCUUGCACCCUUUGGUAUUCCAAAGGGUACACCCGUUUGAGCGUCAUUGUAAUCUCACCUCUUUGGUAUUUUUUGGAUGCCCAAGAGAAGUGGAAAUGGAUGUUGCCGUGUUUCUAGACAUGGCUCAUCUGAAAAGUCUCAGUGCAUGGCCGUGACAGGCUAGAGGUGCUUGAUGUGAUAAUUAAUUAAUUCAUCAUUGCAAUCCUCUUCAAGUUCUGACUUGGUAUUAGUGUGCUGUCUAAUCGUCCAGUCUCUGGACAAACUUACAUUGACAAUUUGACCUCAAAUCGGGUGGGACUACCCGCUGAACUUAAG